Molecule: ribosomal RNA, 562 nt
Filed under: Teratosphaeria zuluensis
Lineage: Eukaryota; Fungi; Ascomycota; Dothideomycetes; Mycosphaerellales; Teratosphaeriaceae
Description: SSU rRNA
Rfam family: Eukaryotic small subunit ribosomal RNA
Source: RNAcentral
CAGCAGCCGCGGUAAUUCCAGCUCCAAUAGCGUAUAUUAAAGUUGUUGCAGUUAAAAAGCUCGUAGUUGAACCUUGGGCCUGGCUGGCCGGUCCGCCUCACCGCGUGUACUGGUCCGGCCGGGCCUUUCCUUCUGGGGAGCCGCAUGCCCUUCACUGGGCGUGUCGGGGAACCAGGACUUUUACUUUGAAAAAAUUAGAGUGUUCAAAGCAGGCCUUUGCUCGAAUACAUUAGCAUGGAAUAAUAGAAUAGGACGUGCGGUCCUAUUUUGUUGGUUUCUAGGACCGCCGUAAUGAUUAAUAGGGAUAGUCGGGGGCAUCCGUAUUCAAUUGUCAGAGGUGAAAUUCUUGGAUUUAUUGAAGACGAACUACUGCGAAAGCAUUUGCCAAGGAUGUUUUCAUUAAUCAGUGAACGAAAGUUAGGGGAUCGAAGACGAUCAGAUACCGUCGUAGUCUUAACCAUAAACUAUGCCGACUAGGGAUCGGUGGAUGUUUCUAUUUUGACUCCAUCGGCACCUUACGAGAAAUCAAAGUUUUUGGGUUCUGGGGGGAGUAUGGUCGCAA